AGCACGGGAGACAGAGCACCGGGUGCUAACGUCCGGACUCAAAAGGGAAACAACCCAGACCGCCGGCUAAGGUCCCUAAUAUUGACUAAGUGGAAAACGAAGUGGGAAGGCUAAGACAGUCAGGAAGUUGGCUUAGAAGCAGCCAUCCUUCAAAGAAAGCGUAAUAGCUCACUGAUCGAGUCUUCCUGCGCGGAAGAUGUAACGGGGCUAAGUCAAUAACCGAAGCCGCGGAUUCACGACUUGUCGUGAGUGGUAGGGGAGCGUUCUGUAAGCCUGCGAAGGCGGUUCGCAAGGACUGCUGGAGGUAUCAGAAGUGCGAAUGCUGACAUGAGUAACGUUAAAGCAGGUGAAAAGCCUGCUCGCCGUAAGCCCAAGGUUUCCUGCUCUACGUUCAUCGGAGCAGGGUGAGUCGGCCCCUAAGGCGAGGCUGAGAAGCGUAGCUGAUGGGAACAAGGUUAAUAUUCCUUGACCGCCGUUGAGUGCGAAGGGGGGACGGAGUGUUGAAGAUCAUCCGGGUGUUGGAUGUCCCGGUUUGUGAACGUAGGAGGCCGGCAGGCAAAUCCGCCGGCGUAUCUCCGAGGUGAAGCAUCGAGGUCCGUAUGGACCGAAGUGAUCGGAUGGGCUCCCAGGAAAAGCCUCUAAGCUCCAGCUCAACGGGACCGUACCGCAAACCGACACUGGUGGGCGAGCUGAAUAUGCUCAGGCGCUUGAGAGAACUCAGGAGAAGGAACUCGGCAAAUUGACACCGUAACUUCGGGAUAAGGUGUGCCUCGGUAGCGUGAAGGAAGAAACAUCCGGAGCGUGAAGAGGUCUCAGAGAAUCGGUGGCUGCGACUGUUUACUAAAAACACAGCACUCUGCAAAGACGAAAGUCGACGUAUAGGGUGUGAUGCCUGCCCGGUGCUGGAAGAUUAAUUGAUGGGGUGCAAGCUCCUGAUCGAAGUCCCAGUAAACGGCGGCCGUAACUAUAACGGUCCUAAGGUAGCGAAAUUCCUUGUCGGGCAAGUUCCGACCUGCACGAAUGGCAUAACGAUGGCCACACUGUCUCCUCCUGAGACUCAGUGAAGUUGAAGUGUUUGUGAUGAUGCAAUCUCCCCGCGGCUAGACGGAAAGACCCCAUGAACCUUUACUGUAGCUUUGCAUUGGACUUUGAACCGAUCUGUGUAGGAUAGGUGGGAGGCUGUGAAACCGGGACGCCAGUACCGGUGGAGCCGUCCUUGAAAUACCACCCUGAUUUGUUUGAGGUUCUAACCUAGGUCGGUGAUCCCGAUCGGGGACCGUGCAUGGUAGGCAGUUUGACUGGGGCGGUCUCCUCCUAAAGGGUAACGGAGGAGUGCGAAGGUACGCUAGGUACGGUCGGAAAUCGUGCUGAUAGUGCAAUGGCAAAAGCGUGCUUGACUGCGAGACCCACAAGUCGAGCAGAUACGAAAGUAGGUCAUAGUGAUCCGGUGGCUCUGUAUGGAAGGGCCAUCGCUCAACGGAUAAAAGGUACUCUGGGGAUAACAGGCUGAUACCGCCCAAGAGUUCAUAUCGACGGCGGUGUUUGGCACCUCGAUGUCGGCUCAUCUCAUCCUGGGGCUGUAGUCGGUCCCAAGGGUAUGGCUGUUCGCCAUUUAAAGAGGUACGUGAGCUGGGUUUAAAACGUCGUGAGACAGUUUGGUCCCUAUCUGCCGUGGGCGUUGGAAGAUUGACGGGGGCUGCUCCUAGUACGAGAGGACCGGAGUGGACUCACCUCUGGUGUACCGGUUGUCACGCCAGUGGCAUUGCCGGGUAGCUAUGUGGGGAAGAGAUAACCGCUGAAAGCAUCUAAGCGGGAAACUUGCCUGAAGAUAAGUCUUCCUGGAGGCUAGACCUCCCUAAAGAGUCGUUCGAGACCAGGACGUUGAUAGGUUGGGUGUGUAAGCGCUGUGAGGCGUUGAGCUAACCAAUACUAAUUGCUCGUGCAGCUUGAUCC
RNAcentral lists this ribosomal RNA (1953 nucleotides) under human gut metagenome. RNAcentral's name for it is "bacterial LSU rRNA". It matches the Rfam family "Bacterial large subunit ribosomal RNA", at positions 974 to 2925 of the family's 2925-position model. The record is from RNAcentral.